UACGUAGGGGCCUAGCGUUGUCCGGAUUUAUUGGGCGUAAAGAGCUCGUAGGCGGUUCGGUAAGUCAGGUGUGAAAUCUCCACGCUCAACGUGGAGGCGCCACCUGAAACUGCCGUGACUCGAGUCCGGUAGGGGAGUGUGGAAUUCCCGGUGUAGCGGUGAAAUGCGCAGAUAUCGGGAGGAACACCAGUGGCGAAGGCGGCUCACUGGACCUCUUCUGACGCUGAGGCACGAAAGCUAGGGUAGCGAACGGG
Molecule: ribosomal RNA, 254 nt
Filed under: uncultured bacterium
Lineage: Bacteria
Description: partial 16S ribosomal RNA
Rfam family: Bacterial small subunit ribosomal RNA
Source: RNAcentral